This 1265-nucleotide long non-coding RNA is filed under the name Sorghum bicolor (sorghum). RNAcentral's name for it is "long non-coding RNA (SBIC_LNC006433)". The record is from RNAcentral. Lineage: Eukaryota; Viridiplantae; Streptophyta; Magnoliopsida; Poales; Poaceae.
GUUCGUUCUUUAUCGUUUUCCAGGUUCUUCAAAUCAUAAUUCCUGAGUUCUCUAAUUACUUUUAUUUACAUUCAAGUUAUUUAUUGGAUUCCCGCUUGCAUCAAGUGCUCUAGUCUUUAUAACGCUAGAGUAGUAAUUAAUAGAUUAGACGUGGUGUUUAGUCUUGCGAUUACCUAGAAUUGCACCCAAUCCUGCGGAUUGUUGUGGUAGCCUUAGGGUAGUGACAGCCCUAACGGUCGACGUAUUCCACCACGUUCGGAUCGGUGUUUGUAGGACCGUAGUCAGACCUUCCUAGCCCCCUUCUCAUCUCUUUCUGUGGUUAGUGCUCUGAUGUCCCGAUAUAGAUAAUCUUGAAGUAAUUCUUGAUUCUUAGAUCAACUAGAGAACUCUCAGGAAACUUUCUCUCUUCCCACCAAAAAUAAUCAUAUAGUUAUCCUUGGGUGAUCUUGGAUCUUAAUUAGUACACUCACGUUCUCUGUGGAAAAUCGAUACUCUGGAAUACUCCCGGGUGAAAGCUACAUCGGUAUCCGUGUGCUUGCGGAUUUUUUCUGUUUGCGUUUAAAAUACCCAACAAGCUUUUUGGCGCCGUUGCCGGGGAACGGUAGCUGUGCUAGUUUCGAACCAAGUCGUUCGUGUAUCCUUUUUCUUUUUCUUUUUUUACCACACUCACCUUAUCACUUUCACCAUACCACAUGGAUUUCACUCUAAGCAUUAAUGAGCAUGGAAUUUAUUUCAUAGCCACUUCACUUACUCCAUGCUCAUAUGCAACAUCUUCACAAUCCAUUGGUCUCUCCAACAUCACCACAUUCGAGAUCUCCAACCCCCUCUUCCUUUCUAUUCAUAAAAACUUUAAAAGGGCGGUUGUCGAUGUAUAUUUCUAUAAUAAAUUUUGCAGAUCUCGUUGAGUUGAUCUUGAUAUAGGUCAGCGUUGGAGGGGAAACCACUUCACUGACAUAAAUUGAUGGUUUCCCAAGGACAAGCUUAGCGUCCUAAAAUAAGCACUGAUCAGACCAUAACAUAAACUUUUAAUUAUUUGCAACAUUACCUUGUGUGUUGAGCAUAUAAGGAUAAUUGUAAAAAUAUUCCUUCGGGUAUUCUUGUCACUAACCUUUUCAGGAUUGGAGCAAGAAGAUCGGAUGAAUGACAAGCACAAGGUAUGUCCAACCAAUCAUCAUACAACAUUGAAUUAAACUCAUCCAACUUGAAUUUUGCAAAAUUCAAGCUUGGGGAGUACUUUACAUAAAAACAUCCUUUGCCAUGUUGCU